This 57-nucleotide transfer RNA is filed under the name Setaria digitata. RNAcentral describes it as "tRNA-Ile". The record is from RNAcentral. Lineage: Eukaryota; Metazoa; Nematoda; Chromadorea; Rhabditida; Setariidae.
GUUAUAGUAGUUUAAUUUUUAGAAUGUUGUUUUGAUGGGACAAUGGUUUUUAUAAUU